AACGAACGCUGGCGGCGUGCCUAACACAUACAAGUCGAACGAGAAAGGGGCUUCGGCUCCGAGUAAAGUGGCGCACGGGUGAGUAACACGUGGGUAACCUGCCUCUAAGAUUGGGAUAACUCGUCGAAAGAUGAGCUAAUACCGAAUAAGACCACAGUUCCCGCGGGAACAGGGGUCAAAGGUAGCCUCUGCUUGCAAGCUAUCACUUAGAGAUGGGCCUGCGCACCAUUAGCUAGUUGGUAGGGUAACGGCCUACCAAGGCAAAGAUGGUUAGCUGGUCUGAGAGGAUGAUCAGCCACACUGGAACUGAGACACGGUCCAGACUCCUACGGGAGGCAGCAGUGGGGAAUAUUGCGCAAUGGGCGAAAGCUUGACGCAGCAACGCCGCGUGAGUGAUGAAGGCCUUCGGGUCGUAAAGCUCUGUCGGGAGGAACGAAUGCUCCUGAGGUUAACAGCCUCGGGAGGUGACGGUACCUGCAAAGGAAGCACCGGCUAACUCUGUG
RNAcentral lists this ribosomal RNA (503 nucleotides) under uncultured bacterium. Its description in RNAcentral is "partial 16S ribosomal RNA". It matches the Rfam family "Bacterial small subunit ribosomal RNA", at positions 29 to 507 of the family's 1533-position model. The record is from RNAcentral.